This 70-nucleotide transfer RNA is filed under the name Plestiodon chinensis. RNAcentral describes it as "tRNA-Ile". Lineage: Eukaryota; Metazoa; Chordata; Lepidosauria; Squamata; Scincidae. RNAcentral also lists the same sequence under 2 other names. The record is from RNAcentral.
GGAAACGUGCCCGAAAUUAAGGGUUACUUUGAUAGAGUAAAACACAGAGGUUAAAACCCUCUCGUCUCCC